CGGUACCAUUAGAGAAAGCACCGGCUAAUCUCGUGCCAGCAGCCGCGGUAAUACGAGAGGUGCUAACGUUAUUCGGAAUUACUGGGCGUAAAGGGUGUGUAGACGGCGUGAUAAGUCAACUGUUAAAUUUCUCGGCCCAACCGGGAACCAGCGGUAGAAACUAUCAUGCUAGAGGGUGGAAGAGAGAAGUGGAAUUCUCGGAGUAGCGGUAAAAUGCGUAGAUAUCGAGAGGAACACCAAUGGCGAAAGCAGCUUCUUGGUCCAUUCCUGACGUUGAAACACGAAAGCGUGGGGAGCAAACAGGAUUAGAUACCCUGGUAGUCCACGCCGUAAACGAUGAGUACUAGCUGUCGGAGGUUACCCCCUUCGGUGGCGCAGCUAACGCAUUAAGUACUCCGCCUGGGGAGUACGCUCGCAAGAGU
Molecule: ribosomal RNA, 422 nt
Filed under: uncultured bacterium
Lineage: Bacteria
Description: bacterial SSU rRNA
Rfam family: Bacterial small subunit ribosomal RNA
Source: RNAcentral